This 671-nucleotide ribosomal RNA is filed under the name Thaxterogaster porphyropus. Its description in RNAcentral is "eukaryotic LSU rRNA". The stretch from base 295 to 448 matches the Rfam family "5.8S ribosomal RNA". The record is from RNAcentral. Lineage: Eukaryota; Fungi; Basidiomycota; Agaricomycetes; Agaricales; Cortinariaceae.
GGAAGUAAAAGUCGUAACAAGGUUUCCGUAGGUGAACCUGCGGAAGGAUCAUUAUUGAAAUAAACCUGAUGAGUUGCUGCUGGCUCUCUAGGGAGCAUGUGCACACUUGUCAUCUUUAUAUCUCCACCUGUGCACCUUUUGUAGACCUGGAUAUCUCUCUGAGUGCUUAGCACUUCAGGUUUGAGGAUUGAMUUUAUUGUUCUCUCUUUAUAUUUCCAGGCCUAUGUUUCUUCAUAUACCCCAUUGUAUGUUAUAGAAUGUAGUAAAUAGGCCUUUGUGCCKAUAAACCUAUACAACUUUCAGCAACGGAUCUCUUGGCUCUCGCAUCGAUGAAGAACGCAGCGAAAUGCGUUAAGUAAUGUGAAUUGCAGAAUUCAGUGAAUCAUCGAAUCUUUGAACGCACCUUGCGCUCCUUGGUAUUCCGAGGAGCAUGYCUGUUUGAGUGUCAUUAAUAUAUCAACCUCUUCAACUUUGUUGAGUGUUGGAUGUGGGGGUUUUUUUUUGCUGGCCUCUCUCUCUGAGUUCAGCUCCCCUGAAAUACAUUAGCGGAACAAUUUGUUCAUUUGGCGUGAUAAUUAUCUAUGCUAUUGACAUGAAGCAGUUCAGCUUAUAACAGUCCAUUGACUUGGACAAUUUUAUUAUUAUUAAUGUGACCUCAAAUCAGGUAGGAC